UACGUAGGGUGCGAGCGUUAAUCGGAAUUACUGGGCGUAAAGCGUGCGUAGGCGGUCUGUUAAGUCAGAUGUGAAAUCCCCGGGCUUAACCUGGGAACUGCAUUUGUGACUGGCAGGCUAGAGUAUGGCAGAGGGGGGUAGAAUUCCACGUGUAGCAGUGAAAUGCGUAGAGAUGUGGAGGAAUACCGAUGGCGAAGGCAGCCCCCUGGGCCAAUACUGACGCUCAUGCACGAAAGCGUGGGGAGCAAACAGG
RNAcentral lists this ribosomal RNA (253 nucleotides) under uncultured bacterium. Its description in RNAcentral is "partial 16S ribosomal RNA". It matches the Rfam family "Bacterial small subunit ribosomal RNA", at positions 524 to 776 of the family's 1533-position model. The record is from RNAcentral.